GGAAUCUUCGGCAAUGGACGAAAGUCUGACCGAGCAACGCCGCGUGAGUGAAGAAGGUUUUCGGCUCGUAAAGCUCUGUUGUUAAAGAAGAACACGUAUGAGAGUAACUGUUCAUACGUUGACGGUAUUUAACCAGAAAGUCACGGCUAACUACGUGCCUAG
This 162-nucleotide ribosomal RNA is filed under the name uncultured bacterium. RNAcentral's name for it is "partial 16S ribosomal RNA". It matches the Rfam family "Bacterial small subunit ribosomal RNA", at positions 358 to 512 of the family's 1533-position model. The record is from RNAcentral.